GAUCCACUCGCAAUAAGACAU
Molecule: non-coding RNA, 21 nt
Filed under: Caenorhabditis elegans
Lineage: Eukaryota; Metazoa; Nematoda; Chromadorea; Rhabditida; Rhabditidae
Source: RNAcentral